Molecule: long non-coding RNA, 3643 nt
Filed under: Cairina moschata (Muscovy duck)
Lineage: Eukaryota; Metazoa; Chordata; Aves; Anseriformes; Anatidae
Description: domestica (muscovy Duck (domestic type)) lncRNA (ENSCMMG00000011769.1)
Source: RNAcentral
GGAGGAAGAGGAGGGUGCGGGCACCGUGCCGGAAGGAGGGUGCUGCCGACAGGUUGUGCAGGUUUGGGGGGGAGAUUUUGGGUGGUGCAGGCGGUUGCUGGGUGCCGCGGGCGUCGCGUGCUCCUGCCACCUCCCUGCAUGGGGCAGCCCCGGUGCCCGCAAACUCUGGAGGGCCGUGGCAGGGGCCGGACGCAGCCGUGCCCAGGGCUGGUGCCGCGAUGCCAUCGCACGGUGACGGCCCCCGUGGGCACAGCUGCUGGGGGUUGAAUCGGAACUGAAGUUUGGGGCAGGAUCUGCGUUAACCAGAGCCUGGGCAGGUGCUGACUUGAGGCUGCUCUAGGCUGAAGAACAACCCCUGUGCCGCAGGGGAACUUCCUGAAAUUAUUUUCUCCGUGCAAACGGGGCUCGGCAGCUGCUCAGCCGUUCGGAAAAGGGCACCCGGAGCUGCUCGGUCUGCCUGAGGCACCCACGAGUGAAGGUCCAGUUUGUUCCUAGAAGUGCCAGCAUGGAUGACCGUGACCCAGCCUCAGGCUGCCUACACGAGAAAAAGAGGCUGCCAGCUUUCACCUGGGAAGUGAGGGCCAACAACAGAAGCUACCAUAUGCAGUUCAAGAAGAAAUUUGCCUUCUGCUUGACCAAGAAGAAGUAUGCGGGCAAUGCCAUUAAGACAGCCAAGUACAACAUCCUGACCUUCCUGCCGCUGAACCUUUAUGAGCAGUUCCACCGAAUGGCCAACGUGUACUUUGUCUUUGUCAUCCUCUUACAGAAAUGGUGUGACAUCUGCGUUGGGGACAUCGUCCGCCUGCGCAAGGAAAGCUUCGUCCCGGCCGACAUGCUCUUGCUGUGCAGCUCUGAGCCCAGCAGCCUGUGCUACGUGGAGACCGCCGACAUCGAUGGGGAAACGAACCUGAAGUUCAGGCAGGCCCUUCCAGUCACCCACCGGGAGCUGACGAGCGAGGGCAGCGUGGCCGCCUUUGACGGUGAGGUGACCUGUGAGGAGCCCAACAGUCGCAUGCACAGCUUCACCGGCACGCUGCAGUGGCGGGGCGAGACGUACUCGCUUGACAGUGAAAGGAUCUUGCUGCGAGGCUGCAAGCUUCGCAACACCGACUUUUGCUAUGGCUUAGUCAUCUACGCAGGAUUUGAUUCCAAAAUUAUGAGGAACUGUGGAAAGAUCAAGCGGAAGAAAACCAAGCUGGACCGCAUGAUGGACCGGCUGGUGAUCAUAAUCUUCCUGGUGCUGUUGGCCAUGUCAUUGUGCCUCGCCAUUGCCUCCGGGUUCUGGGCCAAGACGUUCCAGGAGAAGCACACCUACCUCUCUGCUCUCUACAAACACACUGCUCCUGCCAAGCAGGCCUUCUUCAGCUUCUGGGGCUUCGCAAUCCUCCUGAGCAUCAUCAUACCCAUGUCCAUGUAUAUAACGCUUGAAUUCAUCUAUCUGGUGAACAGCUUCUUUAUCAACUGGGACUUGGAAAUGUAUUAUGCUGUCAAGGACAUUCCAGCAAAGGCCAGAAGCACCAGCCUCAAUGACCAGCUUGGCCAGAUUGAAUACAUCUUCUCAGACAAGACUGGCACCUUGACACAAAAUAUUAUGACCUUCAAGAAAUGCUGCAUUAAUGGGACUGUCUACGGUAACUUUUAUUGCCACCGUGGGGAGAAGACGUCGGACUCCAACGAUGUGGCACUACUGGAAGCUGCUCGGCGAGACAGUGACCCUGUGCUGAGGGAGUUCCUGCGGCUGCUGGCCCUCUGCCACACAGUCAUGGUGGAGGAGAGGGGCGACCAGCUGGUUUAUCAGGCGGCUUCACCGGAUGAAGAAGCACUGGUGCUGGCAGCCAGGGACUUGGGGUAUGUCUUUCUAUCCCGAACACAAGACACCAUCACCAUCAGUGAGCUGGGACUGAAGAGGACCUACGAAGUGCUGGCCAUGCUGGACUUCAACAGUGAUCGCAAGAGGAUGUCUGUCCUGGUGCGAGACCCCCAGGGCACAAUCCGGCUCUACACCAAGGGGGCUGACACCGUGAUCCUGGAGAGACUGCGCAGCCGAGGGCCCAGUGAGACCUUCACUGAGAGGGCGCUGGACCGCUUUGCAGAGGAGACCCUGAGGACUUUAUGCCUGGCCAGCAAGGUGGUGAGUGAGGCUGAGUACUGCGAGUGGAGCCAGAGGCACCAGGAGGCCAGCAUCCUGUUGCAGGACCGUGUGUGGCAGCUGGACAGCCUGUACGAAGAGAUGGAGCAGAACCUGGAGCUGCUUGGUGUCACAGCCAUUGAGGACAAGUUGCAAGACGGAGUUCCUGAGACCAUCCAGCUGCUGAAACUGGGCAACAUUAAAGUGUGGGUGCUGACGGGAGACAAACAAGAGACAGCAAUGAACAUCGGCUAUGCGUGCAAACUGCUCACAGAUGACAUGGAGAUCCUGGAGGAGAAGGAAAGCCCUUGGGCCCCAUCCCUCUGUGCUGGCCACGGCAGGAGGCCCCAACCACGUGUGCUCUCUCCUAAGGACAAAAUCCUUCACACGGGAGAGGUGCUGAUGAAGAAGGAGGGGUGGCUGUGGCAGUGGCUGCCUUGCCGUGGGGCCACGGACCCGCAGGAGCGAGGCAGCCUGGUGGAGAAGGCCUUCGUGGACCUGGCCACCAGCUGCCAGGCUGUGAUCUGCUGCAGGGUCACCCCCAAGCAGAAGGCCCUCAUCGUGCAGCUGGUGAAGAAGCACAAGAAGGCCACCACGCUGGCCAUCGGGGAUGGGGCCAACGAUGUCAACAUGAUCAAAACUGCUGACAUUGGGGUGGGCAUCAGCGGGCUGGAGGGCAUGCAAGCCGUGCAGUGCAGCGACUACGCCCUGGCGCAGUUCUCCUACCUGCAGCGCCUCCUGCUCGUCCACGGCCGCUGGGCCUAUCUCCGCAUCUGCAAGUUCCUCCGCUACUUCUUCUACAAGACUUUUGCCGGUCUCAUGGCCCAGGUCUGGUUCGCUUUCCACAGCGGAUUCACGGCUCAGCCUCUGUAUGAGGGCUGGUUCCUUGCACUCUACAACGUCUUCUACACUGCCCACCCCGUGCUUUCUGUGGGCCUUCUGGAGCAGGAUGUGAGUGCCAAGAAGAGCCUGGAGUUCCCUGAGCUCUAUGCCAUCGGGCAGCAAGACGAGCUCUUCAACUACCGCAUCUUUGGCGUGACGCUCCUGCAUGGUGUCAGCACCUCACUUGCCAGCUUCUAUAUCGCACUCUGGGCCUUCAAGGACUGUGUUGGCAGCAAAGUCGUGGGUGACUACGAGUCCUUUUCCAUCACGGUGGCCACCUCGGCUUUGCUGUCAGUCCUCGUGGAGGUGAGCACCGGUCUGCCCUUCCCUAUGCUGAUCUCUGAUGCCAGCCAGAACGCCCUGACAGAUCCCUACGUCCUGCUCGUGGUCCUGCUGUCCCUGGUGGAGGUGCCCACAGCCCUGAUGUCCCCUUUCUCCUUGCAGAAGAUCUGCUCAAAGGCCAGGCGUGAGCCGGAGCCCUCAGUGGAGCUGCGUGCCCAUGUCCACCGUGGCUCUUUCCGCCGCCGCUCCAGCUACGCCUUCUCCCACCAGGAGGGCUACGCCGGCCUCAUCACCCGCGGGGACAGCCUGCGCACCAAGGGCACCCGUGCCACCGGGGGUCUCCAUCCCUAG